UGGCUACAGACAAUGUUAUUGUGAGAAAAGCUGGAAACAAAGAGGGAACCGCUGGUCCAAUCCCACGGUCAAAUACCUGAUAUUGUGAUGCAAGAAACAGAAGGUGGACAAAUGUACAUUGCUUUAUCAGCGAUGAGAAGUAGCAGCAGCCCCUAGCAAUGGGUGAUGUUUUAGCGUAUGAAGCUGAGUUACUUGGACUAGUGAAAGAGUAUCUGGAUUUUGCUGGAUUUCAAGAAACGGUAAAAGAACUUAAAAAGGAAUGUAAAAUGAAAGGGAAGCCACUAUCUAAACCAGCAGAUGUUUCCUCAGAAGAUUCAUUGCAUGUUCAGGAAGAGAUGCUUUCAGCAUUUGAGGAUGGUGAUCAGAAAGUUUUCUUCCAGCUCUGGGAGGAGCAUAUUUUGUCUUCAGUCCAUGACAGUGAUCCAGUUGCUCAGAACCUGGAGUUCUAUCUCCACAUCUACUUUGCCACCUUCCUCUUGAAACAAACAAUGGGAAAGCCAGACAAAUCUGAACUUGAGGAAAGGAUUUCUUAUUUUAAGGCAUACCUGGAAACAAAAGGAGCUGCACUGAGCCAGACUGCAGAGUUUCUUCCCUUCUAUGCUUUGCCUUUUGUUCCGAACCCCAUGGUACAUCCUUCAUUUAAAGAACUUUUCCAGGAUUCUUGGACAUCGGAUUUAAGGACAAGAUUGGAAAAGUUCCUGUCUCUGACUCUUAAAGCCAGACAGACUCCUCGGCUUCUCACUAUAUUUAAGGAGAGUGGACAGUGCAACAAAGAAAUGAUGCAGCAUCUUCAUCAACAGUUAGUGAAAUGUGAGCACAGGUAUAUGACCAACCUGAAACAAUUUUACGAAUUGCAGAUGAGCCACCAUAAUCUCCUUGGAGUCACUGCAGAGCUGGUGGAUUCUUUGGAGGCCACAAUCACUGGCAAGAUGAUUACACCAGAGUAUCUUCAAGGUGUUUAUGCUUGCUUAUUUAGCAAUCAUUUGAGACAAGCUGUAGCACACAACAUUGACUUCACAAGGCCUGGAACUGGAUAUUACUCUAUGAGCCCUUGUGAUGACGGAUAUGCUUCCACAUUGUUAAGAGCAUCUUUAGCCUCCAUGAAGGUACAGGAUGUGCCAUUGUUGCCCUCUUUGGAUUAUGAGAAGCUGAAGAAAGAUCUGAUUACAGGAAGUGAUCGUCUCAAGGCCCUCUUGCUGCAGGCUCUGCGCUGGCGCUUGACAACAUCAUAUCCUGGAGAACAGAGAGACACUAUCAUGCAAGCCUACAUCAGUAAUGACCUCCUAGAUUGCCACAGCAACUGUCAGAGAAGUGUCCUCCAAUUAUUAUAUUCUAAGAGUGAGGUAGUCAGACAGUAUAUGGCAAGGCUCAUCAAUGCUUUUGCUUCACUGACAGAAGGUCGUGCCUACCUUUCUCAGAACCCAACAUUGCUGCAAAUGCUGGAGGACAGACUGAAAGCUGAAGACAAGGAUUCCCUUACAUGGGAGAAUGUUCUGGGUGCUCUGCAGAAAUUCAGCCUCAGGCGUACACUGCAGUCGGCAAUGAUCAAAGAUGGGCUCAUUUUCUGGCUGGUUGAUGUUCUAAUAGACCCAGAUUGUCUGUCUGAUUACAACCUGGAGUACUGUGCUGCCUUGCUCAUGAAUCUUUGUCUGCGGAGUGCAGGGAAGAAAAUAUGUGCAAGUAUCCCAAAUCACAUGCUCAGAGUUCUUUCAAGUCUUCUUGACCAUGAGAAUCCUAAGGUCCAGUCAUAUGUGAAUGGAGCACUGUACAGUAUUCUGGCCAUCCCUUCUGUCCGAGAAGAAGCCAAAGAAAUGGGAAUGGAAGAAAUUCUGCGCUGCUUUAUCAAGGAAAGAAAUGAAGAGAUGGUUCGACAGAUUGAAUUUGUAAUCAAGCAACUCAAUUCAGAAGAGCCAUUCAAUGAUAAUAUUGUUUCUGAUGAUGAUGACGACAAAGAGGAAUAUGAGGAAGAGGACAGUAACAUCCUGGAGCCUGAUCUGGACAAAGAUGAAGUUUUGCUGCCUCAGCUGGGGGAGCUUGCAGGAGAGAAGCUGCUAACAACCGAGUACUUGGGAAUAAUGACUCACACUCCAAAAACUAAGAAGAAGCAAUUUCCUGGUGUCCAUCAGAGUACAGGUGUGCCUCUCCAGAGACCUGUGACACCAGGUUAUCACAGAGCUGCAUGUCUAAUGCCAGAAAACAGUUCCUGUCACAAUAGGCAUGAGAAGCUGCAGUCUCCACCGAGUGGUCCUUCUUCCAUUUGUGGUGGGAGCCAGUCCAGCAUUUCUGACUUCUGCAUUUCCCCCUCAUCAGUUGAAAUGAAGUCAUCUGAAGUAUUUGCAUCAGGCCAUAGAAUGGACCAACACAUCCCAGCUGGUGAUACCUUGUCUUCUCGAUCUGCUGACUUCACUGAGGACAAAGUAAAUGGUCAAUCACAUAGGGAGUUUGCUUUAGCCUUCACCAGCAAACCCAAGAUCCCUCGCACUCCUGACGGGCAGAGCACCAGCCCUAGAAAGGGAAAGGUCCCAGCCAUUGCCCCCCAGUUCUCCCAGUCUGGACCCCAACAAACAAGCCAUCCAAGAUCAUCAGCAUCAUCCACAAGGAGUAGACAGAACACUUGUUCAUCCCACUGUGUAACUUGAAGUCGGAUCCCUGGGUGUGUCUACAGUGCAGCUGAAUGUAGAGCAGAUGUCAGGCAGCUCAGGAGAUGGCUCAGGGCAGCUUGGCAGCCAGUCCUACAGGAAGUGAGAACAGUUCCUUUCCUCGAGAAUCACCUGUCACAUUGUCGAAGGACAGAGCCAGCUUCCUGUAAUGAGCUUUACUGGUGACCUACAGAGGAGAGUGAGGUUGUUGACACUGCAGGCCUUGCACAGGGAUUCAGGAUUAUCUGAUGGGAUGUGUCUGUGGUCUCUAGAGCUGGCUAAGACAAGGGCCUUGUUAUUAGAAUUCGAGGUCUCAGCAGCAGCCCAGGACUGACAUGGGAGAUGGAUAUUUUCUGAUAGUUUACUCUAAAGUGACAUUGAGAAGAAACUCUUUGAGAAUAAACUCCUUGCCUUCUGUGUCAGAGGAAAUGGCCUUUGGAAACAGAAUGUAGGCUCAGCCCAGGAGUCUUACCAAGCAACUGUAUUCUUUAUGUAUUGCUUGCUGAAGCAGCCUGCCAAUUGCUUUUUGUAAAACUUUGCCUGUCUGGCCGGAUUGGGAGGUAUCUGUGUUCAAAGGAUCUGCGUGAAGAGGGGCAGUGUCUGCCACACGUGCAGAGCCUUCCUGCCCAGAGCAGUCCUCUGUGGGGCAAGAUCUGCAUGGCCUCCAGACCCUGAAGAGGAAAAUACCUAUUUUAUCAACUUCUGGUUGACCUGUAGUAGAUGAAAAAUGCUGUUACAGUGUCCAGUGCAGCAUCCAUGCUCAUCUCUGAGGUCUUUCUCAGCAGCAAUUGCUCCUAUUCCUUCUUUUUGCUUUUUUUUUUUCAUAAUUCUACUGUUUAACAUUUGUGGAAUGAAAAAUCUAUUUUUUUCCCCUGGAAUGAAGAGCUUUGCUUCUUCAUUCAUAGAAGAAACCAUGAGAAUGUGAACAGAUCAGAAGCAACUUUCUCUUUACAUGUAACUGCUCCAUCUUCUUUAGUCUUUGUUACUUUUUUUAUGUUCUUCACUUCAGAGCAAUGACUGUGUAUGUCUUUAUGGAAUUUGUGUUGGUCUUUGGUGCAUACGAAGUGCUGGCUAGACAAGAGAGGUCAGGAAUCCUUCCACUAAAUAAAAAAGCAGCAUUUCAUUCUGCCAGUGAAUUACAAA
Molecule: RNA transcript, 3782 nt
Organism: Cyanistes caeruleus (blue tit)
Lineage: Eukaryota; Metazoa; Chordata; Aves; Passeriformes; Paridae
Gene: ARMC9
Gene name: armadillo repeat containing 9
Source: RefSeq, a predicted model, not a curated record